Molecule: long non-coding RNA, 488 nt
Filed under: Cyanistes caeruleus (blue tit)
Lineage: Eukaryota; Metazoa; Chordata; Aves; Passeriformes; Paridae
Description: lncRNA (ENSCCEG00000005399.1)
Source: RNAcentral
UCUUGCUGCUGUGCACAAAAUGUCUGUGAUAAGGAUGCAGAGAGAUGCUGUGGUCACAUCUUCCUUCCUCUGGCUGACAAUGCUCAGAAGAUGAUGCUCUCUUUGGUCUGCAGAGGGAGCAGAUAAUUUCUAAGGAAAAGUGUUUCUUUGAAGAGUUUCAAGAAAAUUUGAAAUCAUAAGUGGAUUGCCCAUCUGUUGAUAGAUCAGGCUUUUCCUCUGGAAGGAGGAAUAAGAAAAGAGGCCUCUACCUAAGAAGCUCUGCUGAUCCUGAAAUAAAACAGAGAAGUUGGAAAACUCAUAUAGAAAAGCCUGCACUGAGUCAUGGCAGAACAGAUAAACAGGAUAUUUAAGCACAUCUGCAGUUGCAUAGGAGGAGCACAGAACUGCUCAGGUGCUUAAGGACCAAAGUGAAAGAAGAGUUAAGGAAGGAGACUGGUGCCUCUGACUGUCUUUGAACUCAGCGCAGUCCUGGGAAAAGUGAGUUGAUG